Esox lucius (northern pike) is the source of this 905-nucleotide long non-coding RNA. RefSeq lists it as uncharacterized. The record is from RefSeq and is a predicted model, not a curated record. Lineage: Eukaryota; Metazoa; Chordata; Actinopteri; Esociformes; Esocidae. The transcript has 4 exons.
GCUCUUGUCAAAAGCAGUGCACUGUACAGGGAACAGGCUGCCAUUUGGAAGGCGGGCCGAUGCGACACCAUUGGACCGGGCCAGUGUGCAGUCUGAGAGGGGAGAGAUGCCAGCGGAGAUCAGAGCAGCAGUCUGCCACAGUAUCUGUCAUCUGAUUGCUCCAAAAACUGAACAACUAACUUGCCGACUAAUAAUUAAGCAUUCCUCAAGAUCCACAUGAAUUUGUCUGGGAAAACAACAAAAAUGUAUCACGGAAUACUGCUCUGUGUCAGGUGAUGGAUGAAAUCCCACUUCCCAGUUAUUCCUGGGAGGGCGGCGGCGGAACCAGGGCUUCUGGACAUUUGGAAGGAUGGCCUUGGGAGACUUCUCAGAGGGAACAGGCGCCCUGCACCGAACAGCAGCUACCCCAAUGAAGAACAUGCCUCCCAGAUUCAUAUCGUGAAUAUCCAACUUGCUCAGAAUGGCUUCCGUUUUCAUGUUCUGCGGACAAAACGACGGUGACGAUCCUGGGGUCCGAGAGGGGAUCAAGAAACCUUGGGACAAAGUUGUGAUGAUAUUGUGAUGCAAUUAAUUUUCCACUUUUUAUAGUAAAAUUAACAUUAAAUUGGAAAAAAGAAAACUGAUAAAAUCUCUGUGUUGGGUAAACACUGGAAGGAGAUAUUUAAUAUUUUAAAUCUCAAAAUCUGACUAAAGCAAUUGCUGUGUCAUUAGACACGCCUAUCCAUUAUUCUUUCUGAAAUUGCACAAGCUUAUCAUUUCGAUUCUGUUUUAAUUCACUCUGACUUCCCAUUUUUUGUUUCCCAGCUAUGUUCGUCCACUCGGUUCCUUUCAUGUCUAUCGCACGCUAUGUAUCCACUCGGCGAAUGUAAAAAUAUACUUAAGAGAAUAAUUGUAUGACGUAACCU